This 77-nucleotide transfer RNA is filed under the name Clostridiales bacterium. RNAcentral's name for it is "tRNA-Val". It matches the Rfam family "tRNA". From Rfam's summary of the family: Transfer RNA (tRNA) molecules are approximately 80 nucleotides in length. Their secondary structure includes four short double-helical elements and three loops (D, anti-codon, and T loops). Lineage: Bacteria; Bacillati; Bacillota; Clostridia; Eubacteriales. The record is from RNAcentral.
GGACGAUUAGCUCAGCUGGCUAGAGCAUUCGCUUGACGUGCGAAGGGUCACAGGUUCGAGUCCUGUACCGUCCACCA